UGGCGAACGGGUGAGUAACACGUGGGUGAUCUGCCCUGCACUUCGGGAUCAGCCUGGGAAACUGGGUCUAAUACCGGAUAGGAGCCAUUUUUAGUGUGAUGGUUGGAAAGUUUUUUCGGUGUAGGAUGAGCUCGCGGCCUAUCAGCUUGUUGGUGGGGUAAUGGCCUACCAAGGCGGCGACGGGUAGCCGGCCUGAGAGGGUGGACGGCCACAUUGGGACUGAGAUACGGCCCAG
Molecule: ribosomal RNA, 235 nt
Filed under: uncultured Actinomycetales bacterium
Lineage: Bacteria; Bacillati; Actinomycetota; Actinomycetes; Actinomycetales
Description: partial 16S ribosomal RNA
Rfam family: Bacterial small subunit ribosomal RNA
Source: RNAcentral